AAAAAAUAACAACAUCUCCCUCCGCGGGGGUGGCGCGGGCCGCCCCCAGCCCGCCCGGAGCGAGCGGCGGCGCGGGGCUGCGCGGGGCGGGGAGGGGGGAGCCGCGGGGCGGGGGCGCGGCGCGGGGCGGCGUGCGGGGCCCGGAGCGGAACGGAGCGGAGCGGAGCGGAGGGCUCUAUUGUUAUUUACCGAGCGGCGGAGCACGCCGCCGCCGCGCCGCGCCGCCCGGGCUCGGCGUGCAGGAGGGACGGGAGGGAGGGACGGGACGGAGAGGCAGCCCCGAGCCGCUCCGCGCUGCCGCCCGCCCCGGGGCCGCGCCGUGCUGGGCAGGGGCCAGGCCGAGCGCUGCGGUCUCCUGAGAACAUUUUUUUCUGAGUGA
This 379-nucleotide long non-coding RNA is filed under the name Coturnix japonica (Japanese quail). RNAcentral's name for it is "lncRNA (ENSCJPG00005018650.1)". Lineage: Eukaryota; Metazoa; Chordata; Aves; Galliformes; Phasianidae. The record is from RNAcentral.